This 428-nucleotide ribosomal RNA is filed under the name Verrucomicrobiota bacterium. RNAcentral's name for it is "Verrucomicrobia bacterium partial 16S ribosomal RNA". It matches the Rfam family "Bacterial small subunit ribosomal RNA", at positions 355 to 776 of the family's 1533-position model. The record is from RNAcentral. Lineage: Bacteria; Pseudomonadati; Verrucomicrobiota.
UAGGGAAUCUUCCGCAAUGGACGAAAGUCUGACGGAGCAACGCCGCGUGAGUGAAGAAGGAUUUCGGUUCGUAAAACUCUGUUGUUAGGGAAGAAAAAAUGUAUAGUAACUAUAUACAAAAGAGACGGUACCUAACCAGAAAGCCACGGCUAACUACGUGCCAGCAGCCGCGGUAAUACGUAGGUGGCAAGCGUUGUCCGGAAUUAUUGGGCGUAAAGGGUGCGUAGGUGGUCUUUCAAGUCGGUGGUUAAAGGCUACGGCUCAACCGUAGUUAGCCUCCGAAACUGGAAGACUUGAGUGCAGGAGAGGAAAGUGGAAUUCCCAGUGUAGCGGUGAAAUGCGUAGAUAUUGGGAGGAACACCAGUAGCGAAGGCGGCUUUCUGGACUGCAACUGACACUGAGGCACGAAAGCGUGGGGAGCAAACAGG